AAGACUAUAUUUUCAGGGAUCAUUUCUAGAGUGCAUUACUAGAGAAGUUUCUGUGAACGUGUAGAGCACCGGAAACCAUGAGCAUGAGGUACAGUGUUCUCUCCUGAGCAUGAAGCCGGCUCUUGGUGUUGCUUCGCUGCAACUGCCAUUGGCCAUUGAUGAUCGUCUUCUCUUCUCUGGGAGAGUAAGAGAGAGAGGACACAGUUUGAGUGGU
Small nucleolar RNA from Nomascus leucogenys (northern white-cheeked gibbon), 214 nucleotides. Its record names the gene U3. It matches the Rfam family "Small nucleolar RNA U3". From Rfam's summary of the family: Small nucleolar RNAs (snoRNAs) are involved in the processing and modification of rRNA in the nucleolus. There are two main classes of snoRNAs: the box C/D class, and the box H/ACA class. U3 snoRNA is a member of the box C/D class. NCBI's taxonomy places the organism in Eukaryota, Metazoa, Chordata, Mammalia, Primates, Hylobatidae. The record is from Ensembl.